UACGGAGGGUGCAAGCGUUGUCCGGAUUUAUUGGGUUUAAAGGGUGCGUAGGCGGCCCGUUAAGUCAGCGGUGAAAUCCCGGGGCUCAACCCCGGAACUGCCGUUGAUACUGGCGGGCUUGAGUUCGGUCGAGGCGGGCGGAACUGGCGGUGUAGCGGUGAAAUGCUUAGAUACCGCCAAGAACCCCGAUUGCGUAGGCAGCUCGCUUGGCCGAAACUGACGCUGAGGCACGAAAGCGUGGGGAGCAAACAGG
Molecule: ribosomal RNA, 253 nt
Filed under: uncultured bacterium
Lineage: Bacteria
Description: partial 16S ribosomal RNA
Rfam family: Bacterial small subunit ribosomal RNA
Source: RNAcentral